This 253-nucleotide ribosomal RNA is filed under the name uncultured prokaryote. RNAcentral's name for it is "partial 16S ribosomal RNA". It matches the Rfam family "Bacterial small subunit ribosomal RNA", at positions 525 to 777 of the family's 1533-position model. The record is from RNAcentral.
ACAGAGGGUGCAAGCGUUAAUCGGAAUUACUGGGCGUAAGGCGUGCGCAGACGGUUGCGUAAGUCAGAUGUGAAAGCCCCGGGCUUAACCUGGGAAUGGCAUUGGAAACUGGCUCGCUGGAGUGUGGCAGAGGGGGGUGGAAUUCCGCGUGUAGCAGUGAAAUGCGUAGAGAUGCGGAGGAACACCGAUGGCGAAGGCAGCCCCCUGGGCUAACACUGACGCUCAUGCACGAAAGCGUGGGGAGCAAGCAGGA